This 199-nucleotide small RNA is filed under the name Yersinia mollaretii. RNAcentral describes it as "Manganese sequence". It matches the Rfam family "Manganese Mn2+ riboswitch aptamer (yybP-ykoY)". Rfam says of the family: This RNA was originally discovered in E. coli during a large scale screen and was named SraF. The family was later found to exist upstream of related families of protein genes in many bacteria, including the the yybP and ykoK genes in B. subtilis. The record is from RNAcentral. Lineage: Bacteria; Pseudomonadati; Pseudomonadota; Gammaproteobacteria; Enterobacterales; Yersiniaceae.
UGCGCCGUUCAUGGGGAGUAGCCGGUUUCUAUUCGUUCUAUUUUUAAUAGUGCGAUAAACAGAAACGCUCGUAUCAACAUACUCGUUUCAUCUAUUGAAACGUGGUGCGAGCAGCCAGGUAAGGUUGGCGAGACCAUAGACACGUAGCUCCGUCGUUAGGUUGGGGGUGGGUUACGUGUAUAUGGAGCCGCCCGGCCGA